Molecule: unclassified non-coding RNA, 1681 nt
Filed under: Leishmania donovani
Lineage: Eukaryota; Euglenozoa; Kinetoplastea; Trypanosomatida; Trypanosomatidae
Description: gene:LdHU3.35.3390(CDS-product:DHHC_palmitoyltran sferase_putative)
Source: RNAcentral
CGCGUGCACCUUUCGUUCUCUCUCGCCUUUGCUGUGCGGUGGCCGAAGAAAGCGAGUAUUCGAGCGCACCUUCUCCUCGAGCGCGUUACCGCGGUGCCUCUCAAGCGAUCACACUCCGCGCCUUCUGCAGCUUUUCUCGCCUCGCCUUCCUGCCUAGCUGGCCAUAUGCUGAGGCGCACAUUGUCUCCCGUGCAGGUUAGCGAGGCCCAUGAGCGCUCCACCACCGCGCACCUGACCUCUUUGCCACACGGCGUGGAGGAAAGCGCUGUUCCCAUCAAUGCCACAGACGAUGGUCGUCGUGACCGCUGCGCUUUCCUCGAAACCGGCGAGAGCGCCGAUGCACAUGCUCCGCCGUGUGCGAGUGCCCAGGAGUCUGCCUGUGACAGCUGCCGCUUUUCAUCCGUUGCCUCUGCUUCCUUGGCCUCCCCGGAUGCGGUGCCGCAGGUGAGUGCGCUUGCGCCUGCCCCCGUGCCGUGCCUCCAGGCGCCGCCUUCGUGCGCCUUCGUUGAUGUGCCACCCUCUGCCAUGCCGGCGCGGAGGCUUAAAAACGUGUACGACGGAGCCAUGCCCCUGCCGCCCGGCACGACGAAACGAGCGCUCGGCCGGCUGCGCAUUGUGUGGUGCUGCGUGGUGACCGCCAAGAGCUGGCACUCCCUUUUCGUCGGCUUGCCGAUUCUGUUCUUCACGACCCUCUUCGUUACGGUCGUCGUGCCGCGCGGGGAGUGGUUCACUUACGUCUUCACGGCCCUCUUCACCACUAUAUCAGUCACGUGCCUGACACUGUCGGUCACCCUCGACCCCGGUGUCAUCCCGCCAGCCCCGCAGUCGCAGCAGCCAACGCAGUCGACAACCGUCAUGGUUGGCGGGCAGCCUGUGCUGUGCAAGGUGUGCACAACGUGCCACAUCAUUCGGCCACCACGCAGUACACACUGCCGGUUCUGCGACGUCUGCGUGGAGGAGUUUGACCACCACUGCGGUAUCAUCGGCAGCUGCGUGGGAAAGCGGACGUUCCGUUUUUUCGGCGGCUUCUUUGUCAUUACGAGUUUCCUCGUGCUCUAUAUCCUUAUUCGUUCCUUUAUCAUCCUCGUAUCGACGGACUUCAAGCCAGCGAACGAGCGGCCGCACUUGAUCUGGCUGGCUGUCUCGUGCACCCUCUGCAUUGUUGCCGCGAUCAUAGGUGCAAUUCUGGUGAUGCCGUGUGCCGGUCGCUACAUUAUGCUAAGCGCCUCCAAUUCCACCGUGAAGGAGACGAUGCGCACCCAGCGGCAGCAGACGAAGUCGGGGGAGCAGCCACCUGGUGUCGUUCCUGUCGCGGAGACGAAGAGCGGCAACUACUGUGCCAAUCUUCGCCGCCUGUUUAGCCCCAUCGGACGCAGCCGCAUCCCUUACGACUACUAUGUAUAGUCGAUGGCGUUCCUUGAGGAAAGGAUUCACACGGACAUACGAGGACGACGGUGUGUGCGUGUGUGUGUGUGUGGAGCUUGCGUGCACAGAGCAGCUUUCUCUGUCAUCGCGUGCUUCUACUGCUGCCGCUGCUUCGUGCUCCUUUUUUUUUAUCUCCCCUUUCCUUUUGUUCUUGUCGACAGUCCCCGCCAUGUGAUCUGCCUGUGUGUGGUGGUGUGACCCAUGUGUAUGGUUGGUGCAGAUGGUGGUUGCUCUUGCCGGUCUCGAUCACUUGAAG